RNAcentral lists this ribosomal RNA (274 nucleotides) under Klebsiella pneumoniae. Its description in RNAcentral is "partial 16S ribosomal RNA". It matches the Rfam family "Bacterial small subunit ribosomal RNA", at positions 399 to 665 of the family's 1533-position model. Lineage: Bacteria; Pseudomonadati; Pseudomonadota; Gammaproteobacteria; Enterobacterales; Enterobacteriaceae. The record is from RNAcentral.
GCGUGUGUGAAGAAGGCCUUCGGGUUGUAAAGCACUUUCAGCGGGGAGGAAGGCGUUAAGGUUAAUAACCUUGGCGAUUGACGUUACCCGCAGAAGAAGCACCGGCUAACUCCGUGCCAGCAGCCGCGGUAAUACGGAGGGUGCAAGCGUUAAUCGGAAUUACUGGGCGUAAAGCGCACGCAGGCGGUCUGUCAAGUCGGAUGUGAAAUCCCCGGGCUUAACCUGGGAACUGCAUUCGAAACUGGCAGGCUAGAGUCUUGUAGAGGGGGGUAGA